Molecule: ribosomal RNA, 501 nt
Filed under: uncultured bacterium
Lineage: Bacteria
Description: partial 16S ribosomal RNA
Rfam family: Bacterial small subunit ribosomal RNA
Source: RNAcentral
AUUGAACGCUGGCGGCAUGCCUUACACAUGCAAGUCGAACGGCAGCACGGGUGCUUGCACCUGGUGGCGAGUGGCGAACGGGUGAGUAAUACAUCGGAACGUACCUUAUCGUGGGGGAUAACGCAGCGAAAGCUGUGCUAAUACCGCAUACGCCCUGAGGGGGAAAGCGGGGGAUCGCAAGACCUCGCGCGAUUAGAGCGGCCGAUGCCUGAUUAGCUUGUUGGAGGGGUAAAAGCCCACCAAGGCGACGGUCAGUAGCUGGUCUGAGAGGCAGAUCAGCCACACUGGGACUGAGACACGGCCCAGACUCCUACGGGAGGCGGCAGUGGGGAAUUUUGGACAAUGGGGGCAACCCUGAUCCAGCAAUGCCGCGUGAGUGAAGAAGGCCUUCGGGUUGUAAAGCUCUUUUGUCAGGGAAGAAACACCGGCUCUAACACAGUCCGGGAAUGACGGUACCUGAAGAAUAAGCACCGGCUAACUACGUGCCAGCCGCCGCGGUAA